RNAcentral lists this ribosomal RNA (1447 nucleotides) under Klebsiella variicola. RNAcentral's name for it is "bacterial SSU rRNA". It matches the Rfam family "Bacterial small subunit ribosomal RNA". The record is from RNAcentral. Lineage: Bacteria; Pseudomonadati; Pseudomonadota; Gammaproteobacteria; Enterobacterales; Enterobacteriaceae.
UGACGAGCGGCGGACGGGUGAGUAAUGUCUGGGAAACUGCCUGAUGGAGGGGGAUAACUACUGGAAACGGUAGCUAAUACCGCAUAACGUCGCAAGACCAAAGUGGGGGACCUUCGGGCCUCAUGCCAUCAGAUGUGCCCAGAUGGGAUUAGCUGGUAGGUGGGGUAACGGCUCACCUAGGCGACGAUCCCUAGCUGGUCUGAGAGGAUGACCAGCCACACUGGAACUGAGACACGGUCCAGACUCCUACGGGAGGCAGCAGUGGGGAAUAUUGCACAAUGGGCGCAAGCCUGAUGCAGCCAUGCCGCGUGUGUGAAGAAGGCCUUCGGGUUGUAAAGCACUUUCAGCGGGGAGGAAGGCGGUGAGGUUAAUAACCUCAUCGAUUGACGUUACCCGCAGAAGAAGCACCGGCUAACUCCGUGCCAGCAGCCGCGGUAAUACGGAGGGUGCAAGCGUUAAUCGGAAUUACUGGGCGUAAAGCGCACGCAGGCGGUCUGUCAAGUCGGAUGUGAAAUCCCCGGGCUCAACCUGGGAACUGCAUUCGAAACUGGCAGGCUAGAGUCUUGUAGAGGGGGGUAGAAUUCCAGGUGUAGCGGUGAAAUGCGUAGAGAUCUGGAGGAAUACCGGUGGCGAAGGCGGCCCCCUGGACAAAGACUGACGCUCAGGUGCGAAAGCGUGGGGAGCAAACAGGAUUAGAUACCCUGGUAGUCCACGCUGUAAACGAUGUCGAUUUGGAGGUUGUGCCCUUGAGGCGUGGCUUCCGGAGCUAACGCGUUAAAUCGACCGCCUGGGGAGUACGGCCGCAAGGUUAAAACUCAAAUGAAUUGACGGGGGCCCGCACAAGCGGUGGAGCAUGUGGUUUAAUUCGAUGCAACGCGAAGAACCUUACCUGGUCUUGACAUCCACAGAACUUUCCAGAGAUGGAUUGGUGCCUUCGGGAACUGUGAGACAGGUGCUGCAUGGCUGUCGUCAGCUCGUGUUGUGAAAUGUUGGGUUAAGUCCCGCAACGAGCGCAACCCUUAUCCUUUGUUGCCAGCGGUCCGGCCGGGAACUCAAAGGAGACUGCCAGUGAUAAACUGGAGGAAGGUGGGGAUGACGUCAAGUCAUCAUGGCCCUUACGACCAGGGCUACACACGUGCUACAAUGGCAUAUACAAAGAGAAGCGACCUCGCGAGAGCAAGCGGACCUCAUAAAGUAUGUCGUAGUCCGGAUUGGAGUCUGCAACUCGACUCCAUGAAGUCGGAAUCGCUAGUAAUCGUAGAUCAGAAUGCUACGGUGAAUACGUUCCCGGGCCUUGUACACACCGCCCGUCACACCAUGGGAGUGGGUUGCAAAAGAAGUAGGUAGCUUAACCUUCGGGAGGGCGCUUACCACUUUGUGAUUCAUGACUGGGGUGAAGUCGUAACAAGGUAACCGUAGGGGAACCUGCGGUUGGAUCACCUCCUUA